Molecule: ribosomal RNA, 229 nt
Filed under: uncultured bacterium
Lineage: Bacteria
Description: partial 16S ribosomal RNA
Rfam family: Bacterial small subunit ribosomal RNA
Source: RNAcentral
UAACACGUGACUAACCUACCUUCGAGUGGGGGGAGUAAACCUCGGGAAAACCGGGGGCUAAUACCGCAUAAUAUCUUCGGGAUGAGAAGCCGAAGAUCAAAGGAGCAAUUCGCUGGAAGAGGGAGUCGCGGCUGAUUAGCUAGUUGGUGAGGUAAAGGCUCACCAAGGCGACGAUCAGUAGCUGGUCUGAGAGGACGACCAGCCACACUGGGACUGAGACACGGCCCAG